UAUGGAGAGUUUGAUCCUGGAUCAGGAUGAACGCUGGCGGCGUGCGUAAUACAUGCAAGUCGAGCGAACUGAAGAGUAGCUUGCUCCUUUGACGUUAGCGGCGGACGGGUGAGUAACACGUGGGUAACCUACCUAUAAGCCUGGAAUAACUCCGGGAAACCGGGGCUAAUGCCGGAUAACAUGUUGAACCGCAUGGUUCUACAGUGAAAGACGGUCUUGCUGUCACUUAUAGAUGGACCCGCGCCGUAUUAGCUAGUUGGUGGGGUAACGGCCUACCAAGGCGACGAUACGUAGCCGACCUGAGAGGGUGAUCGGCCACACUGGAACUGAGACACGGUCCAGACUCCUACGGGAGGCAGCAGU
Molecule: ribosomal RNA, 363 nt
Filed under: Staphylococcus felis
Lineage: Bacteria; Bacillati; Bacillota; Bacilli; Caryophanales; Staphylococcaceae
Description: bacterial SSU rRNA
Rfam family: Bacterial small subunit ribosomal RNA
Source: RNAcentral